GAUGAACGCUGGCGGCGUGCUUAACACAUGCAAGUCGAACGAUGAAGCUCAGCUUGCUGGGUGGAUUAGUGGCGAACGGGUGAGUAACACGUGAGUAACCUGCCCUUAACUCUGGGAUAAGCCUGGGAAACUAGGUCUAAUACCGGAUAGGAGCGUCCACCGCAUGGUGGGUGUUGGAAAGAUUUAUCGGUUUUGGAUGGACUCGCGGCCUAUCAGCUUGUUGGUGAGGUAAUGGCUCACCAAGGCGACGACGGGUAGCCGGCCUGAGAGGGUGACCGGCCACACUGGGACUGAGACACGGCCCAGACUCCUACGGGAGGCAGCAGUGGGGAAUAUUGCACAAUGGGCGAAAGCCUGAUGCAGCGACGCCGCGUGAGGGAUGAUGGCCUUCGGGUUGUAAACCUCUUUCAGUAGGGAAGAAGCGAAAGUGACGGUACCUGCAGAAGAAGCACCGGCUAACUACGUG
RNAcentral lists this ribosomal RNA (466 nucleotides) under uncultured bacterium. RNAcentral describes it as "partial 16S ribosomal RNA". It matches the Rfam family "Bacterial small subunit ribosomal RNA", at positions 28 to 507 of the family's 1533-position model. The record is from RNAcentral.